GAGCGUCAUCUCUCGCGCUGCGCAUUCCUGGGGGUGACUUUAAUUGGAUCCCUGCCUGUGCUGAGAGUCGCCAGGUAUAUCAAGUGUCACGCCACCUGGAGGGCUACACUUCAACCCUUGACAUGGAGCGACGCAUCUUGUUGUCUGUGCUGCUGGUUCUAAGCUGCAUGGUGGCAGUGAACCUCGUGAACUCCUUGCCCAGUUACCCUCAAUCCCUUAAGGGGCGAGUAUCCUUCUCUGUCUUCAAGAAUGGUGGAGCCUUUACCCUUGAAAUCUGGCUAUGGUGGAGGCUACAGUAGUGGUGGUGAUGGUGGUAGAGGGCGUGGGGGUAGUGGUGCUGCAAGAGGUUAUGGUGGGGGGAUAUGGCAAUCAAAAGCAGAGGUCCCCAGCAUAUCAACAAGAGUCCCGCGUUGUUUUCAAGCCCUGAAUCUCCUACUCCUGUCCUUGCCUGACUGUCCAGCCCUCCUUGGUGUCCGUGGCAGGCUAAACUAGCUGGUGAACUCCCGCACCAUCAGGAGAAACAUGCUGCACCCAACCCCAAGGACACCAAGGGAAUAUAACUGGCAUACGGACUGACUGACUGACUGAAUAACUGAGUGGAUAACAGGAUAGCGGUCGUACGGUUUUGUUCUUCACGUGUCUCUCUCGUUAUCUUAUUGGGCAGUUAAUGGCUAAAUUGUUUAUCCUCAUUUCUUUGCUUUCCUUCCCAGUAAUUAAUAAAAAAAUAAUAAUGA
Molecule: long non-coding RNA, 734 nt
Organism: Scylla paramamosain (green mud crab)
Lineage: Eukaryota; Metazoa; Arthropoda; Malacostraca; Decapoda; Portunidae
Exons: 3
Source: RefSeq, a predicted model, not a curated record